UACAGAGGGGGCUAGCGUUGUUCGGAAUUACUGGGUGUAAAGGGUGCGCAGGUGGUUAGUUAAGUCUGAUGUGAAAUCCCUGGGCCCAACUCAGGAACUGCAUUGGAAACUGGCUAGCUUUGAGUACCGGAGAGGGAAGCGGAAUUCCUGGUGUAGCGGUGAAAUGCGUAGAUACCAGGAGGAACACCGGUGGCGAAGGCGGCUUCCUGGCCGAGUACUGACGCUCAUGCACGAAAGCGUGGGGAGCAAACGGG
This 254-nucleotide ribosomal RNA is filed under the name uncultured bacterium. RNAcentral describes it as "partial 16S ribosomal RNA". It matches the Rfam family "Bacterial small subunit ribosomal RNA", at positions 524 to 776 of the family's 1533-position model. The record is from RNAcentral.